This 231-nucleotide unclassified non-coding RNA is filed under the name fungal sp. RNAcentral describes it as "partial internal transcribed spacer region". The stretch from base 1 to 48 matches the Rfam family "Eukaryotic small subunit ribosomal RNA", at positions 1784 to 1831 of the family's 1831-position model. Lineage: Eukaryota; Fungi. The record is from RNAcentral.
AAAAGUCGUAACAAGGUAACCGUAGGUGAACCUGCGGUUGGAUCAUUAUUGAUACAACGGUCUUGGAGUCCUCUUUGGAGUUGAUUCCUCGACCUUACCCACCCCAUGUGCAUUGUAAACGUAUUUUGGGACUCUGCUUAGGUAGGGUCCCAGCAGUAUAAACACUAUUUAAUUUGUCUGAAAUGAAACCAAGAAUCGUAACAACUUUUGACAACGGAUCUCUUGGCUCUC